ACGACCUUACUUGAACAGGAUCUGUUCUAUAGGAUUCGUACCGUUGCAUCCUUGACUAAUAAGGAGGCAAGUGCUUAAGCUUGGUUGAUGACAUCUGACCUGUGGGCCAGAGCAUGAUUAACGGCUCGAAUCUGUUAAGGUUGGUAGUGCUGAAGAUCAUCCAAGUUGCUAGUAUCCUUUUUCGAGGGAACCAGUUAAGUUGCCGCUAGCCUGCUUACCUGGAU
Molecule: non-coding RNA, 224 nt
Organism: Triticum aestivum (bread wheat)
Lineage: Eukaryota; Viridiplantae; Streptophyta; Magnoliopsida; Poales; Poaceae
Source: Rfam